Molecule: non-coding RNA, 380 nt
Organism: Paramuricea clavata
Lineage: Eukaryota; Metazoa; Cnidaria; Anthozoa; Malacalcyonacea; Plexauridae
Source: the annotation of a GenBank genome assembly
GAUUACAUGAAGUAUUUCCAACGAAAUUCAAAAUGGCGGAAACAGGUGAAGAAAUUCGUGUUGGUUGUAGCUUCUUUUUAAAGCGUAAAAACAGAUAUUGUAAAAUGAUUCCUAGCAAAGGAAAGAAAUAUUGUGGUGAACAUUCAUAUCUCACCGAAGGAAAUGAAGUAUGAACUUUUUUUAAAUAUUUUACUAGAAAUAUAUAUAAAACAAGUAGACAGAGUUGUGGUCAUGUGGUGUACGUUGUACUGUUGUUUUAAGAUAUACUAAUCAAUGAUCUCGAAUUUCAUAAUUCAUUUGGUGAACAUUACUCUGGUUUUCUGCUUUUUAUAGGAUUUGACAGCACGAAAACGAAUCCCUUGUCCACUAGACACAAAACA